This 75-nucleotide transfer RNA is filed under the name Pseudomonadota bacterium. RNAcentral's name for it is "tRNA-Pro". It matches the Rfam family "tRNA". From Rfam's summary of the family: Transfer RNA (tRNA) molecules are approximately 80 nucleotides in length. Their secondary structure includes four short double-helical elements and three loops (D, anti-codon, and T loops). RNAcentral also lists the same sequence under 4 other names. The record is from RNAcentral. Lineage: Bacteria; Pseudomonadati; Pseudomonadota.
CGGGGCGUGGCGCAGCCUGGUUAGCGCACCUGUCUGGGGGACAGGGGGUCGCUGGUUCAAAUCCAGUCGCCCCGA